This 434-nucleotide long non-coding RNA is filed under the name Pelobates cultripes (western spadefoot toad). The record is from RNAcentral. Lineage: Eukaryota; Metazoa; Chordata; Amphibia; Anura; Pelobatidae.
GUUGUAAUAAAUGUAGUUAAUCCAAUUAAGGUUUUUGUUGGCAGUGACUAUGGUAAAAAGUGAUUCAAAACCUGCAGCUACUUCAUCUCUAGCUUUAAAUUCAUUAGGUACCCCCCUAGGUACCCCAAUGGCAUCUAUGUAAAUGUGGGGGUCAAAACUGCCUUUUACUGGGGUUUCGCGCCUUACUCUGGCUGGUGUAUGUGGAGGGUCGUAUGUGUCAUGAUGAUUAUCAGAAAUAAUAUGAAUGGGCAUGAUAACUUUGGCUAGGGUACACUCACCCCACCACUCAGUUUCCAGCCUAGAUCUUAACUGUAGAUCCCCACAUAACCAGUAAAUAUCCCCCAAUGACCUGGUAUGGUGUUGCAACAGGCGUAUAGGAACAGUUCUGUAAGUGGCGCAAUAACCUUUAGAAAAAUUACCCAUGAAUUUACCAA